UCCUACGGGGGGCAGCAGUGAGGAAUAUUGGUCAAUGGGCGGGAGCCUGAACCAGCCAAGCCGCGUGAAGGAAGAAGGCGCCAAGCGUCGUAAACUUCUUUUGUCGGGGAACAAAGGGCGCCACGUGUGGCGUUGUGAGUGUACCCGAAGAAAAAGCAUCGGCUAACUCCGUGCCAGCAGCCGCGGUAAUACGGAGGAUGCGAGCGUUAUCCGGAUUUAUUGGGUUUAAAGGGUGCGUAGGCGGAGUGUCAAGUCAGCGGUAAAAUUUCGGGGCUCAACCCCGUCGUGCCGUUGAAACUGACGCC
This 305-nucleotide ribosomal RNA is filed under the name uncultured bacterium. RNAcentral's name for it is "bacterial SSU rRNA". It matches the Rfam family "Bacterial small subunit ribosomal RNA", at positions 337 to 640 of the family's 1533-position model. The record is from RNAcentral.